Rosa chinensis is the source of this 76-nucleotide small nucleolar RNA. RefSeq annotates it as small nucleolar RNA R160. Lineage: Eukaryota; Viridiplantae; Streptophyta; Magnoliopsida; Rosales; Rosaceae. The transcript has a single exon. The record is from RefSeq and is a predicted model, not a curated record.
AGCAAAAUGAUGAAGCUUUUUGAAUCUGAAUUUGAUGUUGAAUCAUAUAUUAUGCCUUCAAAGUUCUCUGAUUGCU